GUUCCAAAAUUAAAUAAAUAAAUAAACCAUUAAAUAAUUACUUUAAUGUGUCAUUGAUUAAUUAAAAUUGGAAUUAAAUACAUAAAUGUGUUAUUAAAUGUGUCAUUAUUUCAUUAAAAUACCAAUUUAUUUUAUGUAAAAAACAUAUAUAAUUAUUUCACUAUUUAAUUAAGUAUUUCAUGGUCCUGUGUUGCAGUGCUUCAUGAAUUUAUUUUAUCUGUCAAACUCGCCCAUCAAAGUCAGUCGGCGGGGCAAACGCUAAUCUAGUCUAAUCCAUUGCUUUGGUCUGAAGUCUUUCAAAACAUGGUAGCUACGAUGAUGGAGGACCUCCAUGACCUUUCUAGGGAGUUGGUGAGAGAUAUUUUAGACCUAGCAGAGAAUGUGGAAGUAGAACAUGCUGACCCAGAACAUGUAGCGUGUAAAGCAGAGGAAUUUACUGAAGUUGUUGGAGUUACUUCCGCACUUUCUGACCAAGAUAUUGACCGUAGAGUGACUGCAAAUUUAGAAGAAGUACUCCACCGCUUCUCCGGUAACGUUACCAGGGAGCAACAGGCACAACACACACAGGGACCAGGGCGUUUGGUGUUUGACAUACCGAGUGCAGUUCUGGAGCAUCAAGUUCUUUGUGGAUUACCAGCUUGUCAAAUUGCAGCGAUGUUCGGGGUGUCAAAGAGGACCAUCAGGAGGCGCAUGAAACAAAGCGGUUUAAGGUCACGUUAUUACCAAAUUCACGAGUUUUCAGUUUAUGAAUUGCCAGUCUCAUCCACUCAGAAAUGAUAUUACGUUAAGUGUAGUCUGGGGCCGUUAGUGGCCGUUUUGGUAAGGAAACAGAACCAGGGCGAGUGAGACAGGAUCCGGAAUUUGAUGGAUGUGCCUUUCCGUAAAAAUAAAAGCACGAAGCUAAUAAAAAUGCGGUGAAACUUUUAAUUUAAAGAAUAUAAUUUACAAGAAAAGCCCCAAACUUGAAUUUUGGUUAUUUUUGAGGCUGUGGUGGUUCUGUAGUGUAAUAGUUGACUGUUUCACACACGUCAUUAUAUUGUCUGUUUUAUUAUGACACCACUAUUUCCUCAAAAUAAGUGAUUCUGUGAGUAUCUUUGUUCCAGUACUGGUCAAAUAGAUUGAACAGGUGUUUCUAAUGAAGUUGCCAGUGAGUGUAUCGUUAUUUAUUUUAUUUUCCUCCCCUUAGUCUCAAGACUGCAAGAGUCUUUACGCGGAGUCGAUGCAGAGGGAAGUCUAAGGCUGCAUGUAUUAAGACGACGGCAGUAUUCUGUUCCUGGCCCAAACUCUUUAUGGCAUAUAGAUGGCAAUCAUAAGCUCAUCAGGUCAGUGAUAUUAGCAGAUAAACAAUGUAUCUUUCUAUAGAUGUCAUUAGAAUUGUUUUACAAUAAAGUUGUGCUUUUUUGUGUCUUCACAAUUGCCUGACAGGUGGAGAUUUGUUGUCCAUGGUGGGGUGGAUGGAUUCAGUCGUUUAAUGGUCUACCUGACUGUGGCUGGCAAUAAUAGAGCUAGUACAGUCUUACAGAGCUUUAUUGCUGCUGUUGAGCAGUAUGGGCUGCUAUCAAGGGUACGGUCUGAUAAAGGGGGGGAGAAUGCAGAUGUAGCAGAAUUCAUGAUCAGGAGCAGAGGUACCGACAGGAAUUCGCACAUCACAGGCAGAAGUGUCCACAAUCAGCGAAUAGAGAGAAUGUGGAGAGAUGUUUAUGAACAUGCCCUGGACCUCUUCUAUCAGAUCUUCACUUCAUUGGAAGAUCAGGGAACACUGAAUCCAGACAAUGAAGUCCAUCUUUUCGCACUGCAUCGGCUCUUCCUUCCACUAAUUCAGCAAAGCCUCGACUCUUUCAGAGAAGCUUGGAACUUUCAUGGUCUUAGAACUGAAAGGAAUCAGUCACCGCAGCAACUCUGGAGAAGAUACAGAGAGCAAGGCCCUAUGGUGGAUCCUACUGAGGUUUAUGAAGACUAUGGGAUCGACUAGAACAGACUUCACAGUCUUCAUGGAGGCACUGUGUCAGUCCCCGAGGUUCAGCUGGCCCGUGAGCUCUCAGAUGAAGAGGUUGCCAUUUUGCUAGCUCCAGGAGUUUCUGUAACUGAUGCACUUAGAUCAUAUGUAGAGACUGUGCAAAUUUUAUCAAGAAUCAUAGCAGACUGAUGUCCAACCCAUGCUUUUAUUUAGCAUGUUAGAGCAAACAAGCAUAAACGGAAAAAGUUUGCUUUCCUUCAAAAAAAAGCUGUGUUACCUUAAAGCUCAUAAUCACUGUUAUGAUCUCAUAAAUGGACUUUAUGCACAGCUCCACUACUUCCUAAACUUAAAUACACUCCUUUACUUCCUGUCUCAUUAUUUGCCACAGAAUGAAUGACAUGAAUGCUGUUCUGUUAACACUGAAAGAUGAAGAUGCAGAACUGUUUGGUUUCAGUAAAUGGAAACAAUGUUUUGAAUAAAACAAUUGUCAACUACUACACAGUAUGUUUAAAUGUUUUCAAAGACACCAAACUUGUAUCAAUUGACCUGACAUACUGAACAGUGCAUGCAAUACCAUCUGUCUGGAAAAAAUACUUAAACAAGUCCAAAUCCAGUCUGUGCACUAUUUAUGGCAGAGACAAGUGCUUUCUCGAAGUCCAUGUAGGUUUUGAAAUGAGCUGGCAGCUUCAGUGUUUCAAAGCAUGUGGAAGACGUAGGAAGGGUUCCCCCAGAAAUCUCCACCUUCAGUUCAGAAAGGAAGCAUCUCCCAGCCAACCCAGAAUGUCAGCAGCUGGGCCAGUGUACCUG
This is a long non-coding RNA of Epinephelus fuscoguttatus (brown-marbled grouper), 2764 nucleotides long. RefSeq lists it as uncharacterized. The transcript has 3 exons. NCBI's taxonomy places the organism in Eukaryota, Metazoa, Chordata, Actinopteri, Perciformes, Serranidae. The record is from RefSeq and is a predicted model, not a curated record.